This 441-nucleotide ribosomal RNA is filed under the name uncultured bacterium. RNAcentral's name for it is "bacterial SSU rRNA". It matches the Rfam family "Bacterial small subunit ribosomal RNA", at positions 29 to 517 of the family's 1533-position model. The record is from RNAcentral.
AACGAACGCUGGCGGCAUGCCUAACACAUGCAAGUCGAACGAAGCCUUCGGGCUUAGUGGCGCACGGGUGCGUAACGCGUGGGAAUCUGCCCUUGGGUUCGGAAUAACAGUUAGAAAUGACUGCUAAUACCGAAUGAUGUCUUCGGACCAAAGAUUUAUCGCCCAAGGAUGAGCCCGCGUCGGAUUAGCUAGUUGGUGAGGUAAAGGCUCACCAAGGCGACGAUCCGUAGCUGGUCUGAGAGGAUGAUCAGCCACACUGGGACUGAGACACGGCCCAGACUCCUACGGGAGGCAGCAGUGGGAAUAUUGGACAAUGGGCGAAAGCCUGAUCCAGCAAUGCCGCGUGAGUGAUGAAGGCCUUAGGGUUGUAAAGCUCUUUUACCCGGGAUGAUAAUGACAGUACCGGAGAAUAAGCCCCGGCUAACUCCGUGCCAGCAGCCG